GAUGAACGCUGGCGGCGUGCCUAAUACAUGCAAGUCGAGCGAACAGACGAGGAGCUUGCUUCUCUGAUGUUAGCGGCGGACGGGUGAGUAACACGUGGAUAACCUACCUAUAAGACUGGGAUAACUUCGGGAAACCGGAGCUAAUACCGGAUAAUAUAUUGAACCGCAUGGUUCAAUAGUGAAAGACGGUCUUGCUGUCACUUAUAGAUGGAUCCGCGCCGCAUUAGCUAGUUGGUAAGGUAACGGCUUACCAAGGCAACGAUGCAUAGCCGACCUGAGAGGGUGAUCGGCCACACUGGAACUGAGACACGGUCCAGACUCCUACGGGAGGCAGCAGUAGGGAAUCUUCCGCAAUGGGCGAAAGCUUGACGGAGCAACGCCGCGUGAGUGAUGAAGGUCUUCGGAUCGUAAAACUCUGUUAUUAGGGAAGAACAAAUGUGUAAGUAACUAUGCACGUCUUGACGGUACCUAAUCAGAAAGCCACGGCUAACUACGUG
Molecule: ribosomal RNA, 497 nt
Filed under: uncultured bacterium
Lineage: Bacteria
Description: partial 16S ribosomal RNA
Rfam family: Bacterial small subunit ribosomal RNA
Source: RNAcentral